Molecule: ribosomal RNA, 297 nt
Filed under: Triticum aestivum (bread wheat)
Lineage: Eukaryota; Viridiplantae; Streptophyta; Magnoliopsida; Poales; Poaceae
Description: partial small subunit ribosomal RNA
Source: RNAcentral
GUUAGAUGGGAGCCACCUCCAGAAGGAACUAUCAAAAUAAAUGUUGAUGCGGGUAUUUCCAUCGAUCAUGACGUGGAUGCAGGAGCGGCCAUUUGUCGUGAUCGUGAUGGAAGCUAUCUGGGCUCGUCUAUCCUUGUGAUCCACGGGAUGCUUGAUCCUGCUACGGUGGAAGCAGUGGCAUGUAGGGAGGCACUAUCACUUGCACAAGAUUUGGGGAUGCAACACUUGCUUGUGGCAUCUGAUUGCAAACAAGUCAUAAAUCAUACUCCCUCCGUUCCUAAAUAUUUGUCUUUCUAG